Long non-coding RNA from Papaver somniferum (opium poppy), 2271 nucleotides. RefSeq lists it as uncharacterized. The transcript has 3 exons. The record is from RefSeq and is a predicted model, not a curated record. Lineage: Eukaryota; Viridiplantae; Streptophyta; Magnoliopsida; Ranunculales; Papaveraceae.
AGACUUGUCCAACCAAAAGAAUCACUACAACAAUCAAUUAUUAGCUGAGAUUCCUCUGCUACACAAUAUUGGAUAAGAACACGAUGUUUGCCAAUCUGUUCCCAAGUUGGAGAUACACAACAAAUUGCUCUUAAAGAAGUUGGACAAGCUAAAAAUGUAUCCACCUAAUCAACUUCAAAUUUCAAGUUUGGUAGAAGCAAAAAGAAUUCAACAGCACACCAAUCACUGUAGAGGGAAAUGGUUCUGAAAAAGCAAGGUUGUAUUAGAUAUGUAUUAGGUUCCUAAGCGUCUAUCAUAAAUGCUUCUAGAAUCUGAAGGGCCAAAGUGUGGACUACAUGUUACAACAAUCAAAAGUAGACUUGUCCAACCAAAUUUGUUUUCAGGAAUUGACGAUUUUGUAAUGAGAUUAUAUAUGCUUACCACCAAAGAGAAAAUAGCCAUUAAGAUAGAUGCAAAACAUUCAAGGCUCAAUCUAUAUAUGUUUAUCUUGCAAAGAAAGACAGAUAUCAUACCUCAAGGGAUAAACAUGAUAAUGUAAUAUCUUCCACGUUAUGAACAACUCUAAAAAACUUACUCAGACGUUCAACAUACAAUUCUUUAACGCCUGCUGGAAGCUCUGUAUCUAUUUCUGGCGCUUCAUCGUCAUCAUCCACAUCCAACUCAUAGUUGUUAUAAAGAUCAGCAACAACUAGUGAAGGCAUGUCACCUAGAUGAUAAUUUCUCGACAUGUAAUCAUUGGAUAAAAAGUGCUGUAGUUUUGGAACACAAAGAAUGAUCUUACUAUCAACUGAUUGACGACCAUUCUUAGAAGAACCUGAACACUUGACAAGGUCGAAUUCCGAAAGUUCAUGAAACGAAAAGUUAAGAUCCAUUUCAGGAAACUCACAGUUUGUUAUGACUAAUUGUUCAAGAAGAGGACAACUAGAGAAGAACUGCUUAGUUAACUUUUCAUCAUCGAAUGCUAGUGAAUCAAUGAACAUAGCUUUGAGCUGAGGUAGAUCAAUUGAACCAGGUAAUUUAAUCUUCAAUCGUCUUUCGUUUCUGUUUACCAAAUCUAAUUUCGGCAACGAUUGACACGUAAAAAGGCAAUGAGGAAACAGGAACUGAGAGAUGUCAACACUUAUGUCUACUUCUUCAACAUUACGCCUAACAGCAGCAAUGAUCCAUGUAUUAAUAUGAAUUUGUAGAUUCUUAUACUCUACAUUACAGCAAGAAAGUUCAAACCUCUUUAAAGUAGACAAGUCGCGCAGAAUGAGCACCUUAUCCACAAAAUUUACAAAACUAUAACCAAUUGGCCGUCCUGUCCCAGGUUUGAAGAAUGAAUAUGAAUUGAAAGCCAGUGAGGGGAGAGAAGUCCAGACAUACCUCCAUCUUUUAGACAAAACACUGGUUGGGACAACAUACUUCAUAUCACCAACGAGACUUAAGAUGUAAUAAAUUAGGGUUUCCGAGACUGAAUAAAACCUUCUCUCCCGCUUAGUGAUCAUUUCAUUGUCUGUCUCGACUGAGGGUCGUUUGAUAAUCAAGGUUUUGGAGAUCAAGUAAGGUAGUUUCGAUAAAGGAAAAGAUCAAUACGGAAUGGGUUUAGAGAGUUUAAGGGUUUACAGAAACCUGUUAAAAGCUGUGAAGAAACAUAUUGGUACUCAAGGUACUAAAAAACAUUAUACUGAUUACAUCACUCAAGAAUUCAGGAACGCAUCAUUAUUAACAGAUCCAAAAUUAAUCAAACACAAGAUUAACCUAGCUUCAAAUUAUACUUAUAUGCUCAAUAGCAUUCACCAUCACCAGGGCCUCCUUUUCUCUUACAACAUUGCUGUAGAUAGAUCCGAAGAAAUGACGAGGACACUAAGAAAAUCUGCGGGAAGUGUUGGUCUUCAGCUUCCUGAAAUCUAUCGAGAUUGAUCUGUAAUGGGCCUCCAGUUCGUUUCAAUCUGCUAUGCUUUUCCAAGAAUGGGUAAGUUAGUUCUUUUGGUUUUCACUUGGAAGUAAUUAUGGGAAAUUUAUUAGCGUUUUUUUCCCAAGAGAAAAAAAUAAUAAUUUACAGAUCAAUCUAAUAAUUUACAGAUCAAUCUAAGCUUUCACUACACCACUGUUCUUUUUCCUAAAAAUUGUUGUUUAUGAUUCAUCGAAUAGUACAUACUAUUCUUUGCAGUGUUAUUUCUGUUGCGAUCAGUAUAUAUAAAUGCAGUUUGAAAAGCAAAUACUAUAGUAGAACUGAAAGUUUGAAGUUCAGAAUGAAUAAAGAAUGUAUGUCUGUGUUUCAUUGUCUUA